AUUGAACGCUGGCGGCAUGCCUUACACAUGCAAGUCGAACGGUAACGGGCCUUCGGGUGCCGGCGAGUGGCGAACGGGUGAGUAAUGCAUCGGAACGUACCUUUCAGUGGGGGAUAACGUAGCGAAAGUUACGCUAAUACCGCAUAUUCUGUGAGCAGGAAAGCAGGGGAUCGCAAGACCUUGCGCUGAUUGAGCGGCCGAUGUCAGAUUAGCUAGUUGGUGAGGUAAAGGCUCACCAAGGCGACGAUCUGUAGCGGGUCUGAGAGGAUGAUCCGCCACACUGGAACUGAGACACGGUCCAGACUCCUACGGGAGGCAGCAGUGGGGAAUUUUGGACAAUGGGGGCAACCCUGAUCCAGCCAUGCCGCGUGAGUGAAGAAGGCCUUCGGGUUGUAAA
Molecule: ribosomal RNA, 397 nt
Filed under: uncultured bacterium
Lineage: Bacteria
Description: bacterial SSU rRNA
Rfam family: Bacterial small subunit ribosomal RNA
Source: RNAcentral